CGCGCAGGCGGCCAAGUAAGUCGAAUGUGAAAGCCCCCGGCUCAACUGGGGAAGGUCAUUCGAUACUGCCUGGCUUGAAGAUAGGAGAGGGAAGCGGAAUUUCCGGUGUAGUGGUGAAAUGCGUAGAUAUCGGAAGGAACACCAGUGGCGAAGGCGGCUUUCUGGCCUAUUCUUGACGCUGAGGCGCGAAAGCUAGGGGAGCGAACG
RNAcentral lists this ribosomal RNA (207 nucleotides) under uncultured bacterium. Its description in RNAcentral is "partial 16S ribosomal RNA". It matches the Rfam family "Bacterial small subunit ribosomal RNA", at positions 568 to 774 of the family's 1533-position model. The record is from RNAcentral.